Non-coding RNA from Gasterosteus aculeatus (three-spined stickleback), 54 nucleotides. NCBI's taxonomy places the organism in Eukaryota, Metazoa, Chordata, Actinopteri, Perciformes, Gasterosteidae. The record is from Rfam.
UAUAAGGAUUAUUGUAAGUCGCUUUGGAUAAAAGCGUCAGCUAAAUGUCCUUCA